RNAcentral lists this ribosomal RNA (253 nucleotides) under uncultured bacterium. Its description in RNAcentral is "partial 16S ribosomal RNA". It matches the Rfam family "Bacterial small subunit ribosomal RNA", at positions 524 to 776 of the family's 1533-position model. The record is from RNAcentral.
GACAGAGGGUGCAAACGUUGUUCGGAAUUACUGGGCGUAAAGCGCGUGUAGGCGGCAGCGUGUGUCGGGCGUGAAAUCCCACGGCUCAACCGUGGAAGUGCACCCGAAACUGCGCAGCUAGAGUCCUGGAGAGGAAGGCGGAAUACUUGGUGUAGAGGUGAAAUUCGUAGAUAUCAAGUGGAACACCGGUGGCGAAGGCGGCCUUCUGGACAGUGACUGACGCUGAGACGCGAAAGCGUGGGGAGCAAACAGG